This 766-nucleotide ribosomal RNA is filed under the name uncultured bacterium. RNAcentral's name for it is "bacterial SSU rRNA". It matches the Rfam family "Bacterial small subunit ribosomal RNA", at positions 28 to 807 of the family's 1533-position model. The record is from RNAcentral.
GACGAACGCUGGCGGCGCGCCUAACACAUGCAAGUCGAACGAGCGAGAGGAGGUUUACUUUCUCAAGCGAGUGGCGAACGGGUGAGUAACGCGUGAGGAACCUGCCUCAAAGAGGGGGACAACAGUUGGAAACGACUGCUAAUACCGCAUAAGCCCACGACCCGGCAUCGGGUAGAGGGAAAAGGAGCAAUCCGCUUUGAGAUGGCCUCGCGUCCGAUUAGCUAGUUGGUGAGGUAAUGGCCCACCAAGGCGACGAUCGGUAGCCGGACUGAGAGGUUGAACGGCCACAUUGGGACUGAGACACGGCCCAGACUCCUACGGGAGGCAGCAGUGGGGAAUAUUGCACAAUGGGGGAAACCCUGAUGCAGCGACGCCGCGUGGAGGAAGAAGGUCUUCGGAUUGUAAACUCCUGUUGUUGAGGAAGAUAAUGACGGUACUCAACAAGGAAGUGACGGCUAACUACGUGCCAGCAGCCGCGGUAAAACGUAGGUCACAAGCGUUGUCCGGAAUUACUGGGUGUAAAGGGAGCGCAGGCGGGAAGACAAGUUGGAAGUGAAAUCCAUGGGCUCAACCCAUGAACUGCUUUCAAAACUGUUUUUCUUGAGUAGUGCAGAGGUAGGCGGAAUUCCCGGUGUAGCGGUGGAAUGCGUAGAUAUCGGGAGGAACACCAGUGGCGAAGGCGGCCUACUGGGCACCAACUGACGCUGAGGCUCGAAAGUGUGGGUAGCAAACAGGAUUAGAUACCCUGGUAGUCCACACUGUAAAC